CUCAUUACAAUUGGGACUCAAAAAAAUUACACUAUAAGAGACGCAUUGUGCUUAUGAUAAAUGCUACUUGCAUCUUCACGAGUAGAUUUUGGACAAAGUUAUUCUAUAUGCAGGGUACUAAAUUGAAAAGGAGUAUGGCAUAUCACCCACAAAUCGACGGCCAGACAGAAGUUGUAAAUAGGUGCUUGGAGACAGCCCAAAGCCACCCGCCAAAUAUGACUAUCCAAGGAAAACUCCAGACCCAGCCAAGUACCAUUAUUGAUCGACG
Molecule: long non-coding RNA, 268 nt
Filed under: Musa acuminata (dwarf banana)
Lineage: Eukaryota; Viridiplantae; Streptophyta; Magnoliopsida; Zingiberales; Musaceae
Description: long non-coding RNA (MACU_LNC011918)
Source: RNAcentral